RNAcentral lists this long non-coding RNA (38145 nucleotides) under Eucalyptus grandis. RNAcentral describes it as "long non-coding RNA (EGRA_LNC002609)". Lineage: Eukaryota; Viridiplantae; Streptophyta; Magnoliopsida; Myrtales; Myrtaceae. The record is from RNAcentral.
UUGACCGUUGCUAUCACUCUGCUGAGUUUGAACUUGGCAAGGUGUGCUUGGUAUGGAAACCUUGUGCUUGAAAAAGUGCUUCGGAGUGUGUGUGGAAAAAUUUAUCCACAUAAAAGCUGUAUUGUGGAGACUGAACAAUUACAUAUGUUACCUGUUGGAAUGCAGGAGCAUCCCUAGUGGCAGAUUAAGAGCAGGUUUGUAUAUUUUCAGAAGGUCAAGGAAUCUGCAUCUUCAAAGGAACUUCCUUCCCUGCAGCUUAUCAAUCAGACAUUGGGUUACACAAGAGAGCUGGAGCAGGUUGUUUAGGACCUGCGGUAGUGCAUGGUGGUUUGCAUUGGUAUUUGCACUUUUUUUUUUUUUUUGAUCUAAGGUAUUUGCACACUUUGAAGAUUGGUUAUUUUAUGCUGAUGGCAUCUCAUCCCUUUUGCUCUUUUUGAGAAAUUUGAUACUUAUUUUUAGUAUUCAUAUCCAUUUCAUUGUUGAAUACAAUUUUGUAUUUGAUCAGUAGUAUAUUUUCCUUGGUUUACCUGCUUGGAAGAACCAGAAACCGAAAUCAGUCUAGUCAUAUGGAGAUGGACAACUUGGCGAAUGUAUACGUCGUUCUUAAUCAGUCUAAACCUAUGAAUAGGCCUAGAUACAGUUAGGUUUAAUCUGUUAUGGUAGAAUCGAAUAUAUGUACACUUGGUGACAUCAAUUGUCUCCAUUGGUCAAAGAGUUGCAAAGCAUUGACAUAGGAAGGCCAACUAGGGUUGCUUGUGUCCAGUUCAAUUUUUAGUUCAGUAGGUUGAAACAGCCACCGGCUGUGGGCUUGUGCUUGCUCCUGAAUGAUGGUAUUCCGAAGAGACGGCAUAUGACAAUCAUAUAAGAAAUUUCUUUUCCCCUUAUCUUUUCCUAUACUCCAGAAUGAGCUCUGUGAACAUGUGAUUUCGCUUCCUACAUUUGCUGCAUAAAACUCUCAAGACUAAGCAGAAUCAAUGAAUCUGGGAUUUGCAAUUUGGUGGAGUCUUGAGUGAUCCAUGAUGUAGCCUUUGCAUGGUAAAAUCAUUGCUAAAUGUUGUUGCCCCUCUCUGAUAAAUGAUGUUCCUCCUGCUGCGAAAGAACAAUGAAAGUCAUCAUUAGUUUGCUUAAUCGAUACUUCUGAAGGAUCGGGAAAGAGCAAGAGGAGGAAUUUAAUGGGUGGGUAUGCAAUAAUGGUCCGCCUCUUCUGAAUCAUGACGUUAUGAUGAAUUAACUCCUUGCUGUUAGGAUGUUACCAUCAUUGAUGGAUCUCGUCAUAUCUUAUGAUGAUGUAAUACUGAACAUUCGAGGAAUUCCCAACCACCCAAAUGUUUCCAAUUUCUUAAUACUUAUUUUCUUGUUUAUUCAUUCCAUUUUUUUUUUUCAAAUUACCGUUGGCUUUUCUUGUUUCUUUUCAGUAGGCCCUUCUGCUCCACAUUGCAAAGACUUUGCCACCUUGCUUUUCAUUGGGUUUACAGGAUCUUUUGCAAAACUGCACUUUCACUGGAUUUGCAUGCACAGUGGACCACAGCGAAUGCUUGAGACUUAUAUAGAAGAUGCACGACAUAAGUUAGAGUUGGUUUAUGGUGAGAAAGAUUAAAUGUCAUUCAGUUGCUGAAUUGAAUGUGGAAGCCUCACAUCACCUGCCUUCCUAAAGAACUCUUUAGUACUUAAUGAGUGUGCUGUUAUUAUAAGUGUGAAGAUGGAUGAUCAAGAUGCCCCUGAGCGAGAUUUUUUUCAACUGAAGCCUUAUUAUACAGAUGCAGGGUAACUUUUGUCAUGGCAUUGCUUAAAAUUGUUUGUUCAUACUCAUGUCACGUGCAUUUGCAGACACUAUAAGGCAUUAGACCUGAAUUGCUAGAUUAUGAGAAAGAUUUCUCAUCCUUAUUGCUUUAUUGACCAUUUUGCACUCAUCAUUUUUAUGUAGACUUACUUGAAAAUUCUUAUGGUUGAGCACUAGCCGUAUUCCACCAUCUCCUCAAGAGUACCCUAUUUUAGGUCUCAAACAGACUAUAGUCAGUUUGAAGAGAACUCAAAGAACUCGGAAAAUAAUUUAAAGUGUGUAGCUACAUUUAAAGAAAAGUAUGUGGAACAUGCUCGGCUUAGACAACUCCAAUAAUUAAUGCAGUCGACUCUACAAUUUCUUUUUUCUCCUGAAGGGAAAAUUCAUUUAAUUUUUUUUUUAGGGAAAAAGAAAGAAGUUGGCUCCGCACGGUACUAAGCGAAUUAAGGGGCACUCACCCCGCAAUUUACAUAUAGGCCCCUCCUUUGAACGCACUCUGUACGCAAUACAAAAGGAAAAGAGUCCCGAGCACUCAAACCGGUCAAACCUUUAUGUGCAGUGAUAAGGCCUUCGAGAUAGGAAAUUCAAUCAAAAUAAGAAGUUCUCCAGUAAAGGAAAUUCUCGCUCCGAAUUGAUGAUCGUCGAUCGUCGCGAUCGAUCCGAUUGAGCUCCGAAUUGAGAUCACUGCUACUGCACCGUCGCUCUCCUCGUCCCCAAUUGCAAAUCGCUUCAGGUUCGUCGGUCCCGAUUUCGUCCUCUUUUGUUUCGCACUCGACGGUUCUCCAGUCCUUCAACCUGUCUCCCGUUAUCAAAGAUUUGAUUCUUUUUGCUGCAUCUGGGUGUGAAUUUCUCCCAAUUUUCUCCCUCUUCCUGUGCUUGAAAGAUUCUCGAGCGAGUGAUGUGGAACGUCGUCUGCUUUUGCUUGUUUUGUUGAUGCUUUCUAUAAUCUCUCGUUAUGGCUGUCUGCACUUUUUCUUUUUCUUUUAUAUGUAUGUCGUUCCGGCUCGGGCAUGCGUCGACCCUUUUUGUAGAAUGAUGUGAUGAAUGUUCAGGCGGAUAUGUCGGGGCAUGUAUCUGGUCAGUCGGGUGCUCAGUUGCAUGGGGUGUCCCAGCAAAAUGGCAACGUCAUCCCAAAUAUGGUAGCUGCAGGCAGCGGCGCUUCUCAUGCUGCGUUUGGCGUGGACAUGGAUACUCUUGGAGCUCGGCACUAUAUGCAGGAGAAGAUGUAAUUUAGUUUAGAGCACUUGUUCUUGUGCUUUAACCUCCUGGGUUCCACUGGUCCUUGUUUGCUGAUUGAACUUUUUACUGUCCCUUUUAAGCUUUUUUCUCUUAGCACAGCAGCAUCAGCAGCCAAUUGAUGAUUCUCAAAUACAUAAGCUGAAAGAUAUUGCUCAACGCCUGGAAGACGGUCUCUUUAAAUCUUCUCACUCAAAGGUCCCAUUUCUCAUCAUUUCUCUCCUCUUCUUCUUUGUAGAAGUACAAGAAGCGGCUUAUGAUUGCCCUUUAUUGAGUUUUUUUUUAGUGUUUUACAUUUUACAUUUGCGAAAGCCAAUAAUCUGUUCAUUUCUCUUGCCUGGUUUCACCUAUUUUUUCUCGUUAUUAUCAGUAUUUCCUUUCUUUUUGGUAAAUAGUACUUGACAUUCUUUUGCUACUUGAAAAUUACAAUCAUGUAGGAUGAGUAUAUGAAUUUAGGCACAUUGGAGUCCCGGUUGCAUAGUUUGAUCAAGCGUCCACCUCCUAAUAAUCAAAAUCCAGUCAAUCCUAAUGCAAUGACGGUGAUGAUUCCAACCCUUGGAUUGUCGCAUAAUGGGAGUUCGACCAUGAUGGCGAAAUCUUCAGUGGAUGCCCCUAUGAGUUAUAUGGCUGGGAAUAGCAGCAUGCAGCCAACAAAUGCAAACACAGGAAGCCUUAUGUCAGGCCUUAUGCCAAACAGAAUUUAUCCAAAGGCAUGUGCUCUCUAUAAUUUCUUGUUAUGGUUGUCUGCGCCGGUGCCUGGUGGUAUUGGGUGUGGUUUGUUCACUGUGAAUAGAGUUUUAAUGUAUGUGGCACAAGCUCAGGCAUGUGUAGCGAGUUUGAAUGAUUACAGGAAGAGUGAGAGCUUUUGUAGAUUGAUGUGAUGAAUGUACAGGCAGAUACGUCAGGGCAUGUAUGUAGUCAAUCGGGCACUCAGUUGCCUGGGGUGUCCCAGCAAAGUGGCAAUGUUGUCCUGAAUUCAGUGGCUGCAGGCAGUGGUGUCCCUCAUUCUGGGUUGAGUGUGGACAUGGAUCUUCUUAGAGCUCGGAACUAUAUGCAAGAGAAGAUGUAAUCUAAUCUAGAGCACUUCUUCUUGUACUUUAACCUCCACAGUUCCAUUGAGUCCUUGUUUGCUGAUUGAACUUUUUACUGUCCCUUUUCAGCUUUGUUCUCUUAGCACAGCGGCAUCUGCAGCCAAUGAAUGACUCUCAAAUUCAGAAGCUGAAGGAGAUUGUUAAACGCCUGGAAGAAGGUCUCUUUAAAUCUUCUCGCUCAAAGGUCUUCUUCCUCAUCAUUUCUCUCCUCUUCUUCUUUGUAAAAGUACAAGAAGCAGCUUAUGAUUGCCACUUAUUGGUUUUUUAUUUUUAUUUUUAUUUUUUAUUGUUACACAUUUUACAUUUGCGAAAGCCAAUUAUUUGUUCAGUUCACUUGCUUGAUUUCACCUAUUUUUUCUCGUCAUUAUCAGUAUUUCCUUUCUUUUCUUUAUUAUUAUUUUUUUUUGGUGAAUAGCACUUGACAUUCUUUUGCUAAUUUAAAAUUACAAUUAUGUAGGAUGAGUACGUGAAUUUAGGCACAUUGGAGUCCCGUUUGCGUAGUUUGAUCAAGCGUCGUUCUCCUAAUAAUCGAAAUCCAGUCAAUCCUAAUUCAACCAUAACAAUGAUUCCACCUCCUGGAUUGUCGCAUAAUGGGAAUUCGACCAUGAUGGUGACACCUUCAAUGGAUGCACCUAUGAGUAAUAUGGCUGGCAGUAGCGGCAUGCAACCAAUGAAUGCAAAUGUGGGAAGCCCUACGUCAAGUGGUGUCAUGCCAACACAGGAAGCCUUAUCGGAAGCCUUAUGUCAACUUGAAUUGUAAAUGAACAUUUUCAUUCAGAUGUAGGCCUUAUGCAGGAUGCGUUGUUAUGUUUUGAAAGUUGGGGUAUAAUUUGAACGAUUUUUCUUUCCUAUUUCCCAGUAUAUCGAUGAAGAUAUAAACACCCACGCACUUUCAUUUAGAAAAAACUACAUAGGCUUCAAACAGAAUUUACUGGCCCUGAUGAUUAAACAUUCACUUGGAACUUAGACAAUAAAAAGAUGAGAAUGCAAAACGGUAGGGGAUUCAUUCACAUUUCAGAAAAUGUUACGGCUAGAAAAUUCAACUUGUCAUUUCCUAUGAUUGAACAAAAAGAAGCACGACAUACCUAACCUGUGGACUUAGCAUGUAAGAAUGAAUCGCAUUAAGUACCCCAGCUACUAAAGAUUUUUCUAGUGAUCAAACAUACUUGCUUUCAGAGUAAAUCCAGCAUUAGAUAAAUCGCCAUCUCUGCACAUGAUGCUGCAUUUCCCAUGACGUCACCUGGAAUUCUGGCUACUUUUAUUCCAUUUUUGGUGGCAACAUUGAUAUCAACACCUUCAUGAAGAUGUAAAUGUUGGGUACUAAAUUCAGUUAAAAGCUAAAAGAACAUAGUGAUAAUAUUGACAAAUAAACCUAAAUAAACCUAAAUCCCCCUGCCCAACAUACACAAGCAAGCAGGGGUAGACACCAUUUAGACCGACACCAAAUUGUAGUAUAAGCUUCAAUUGUUUCACUCAAGCUAUAGUAUCUGACUCGAGGCGCUUGUUCUUCACCAUCUCCUAUAACAUGAUGCACAUCAUCAGGGGCUACCUAAUUGACCUACAAAAAUGGAAAAUGGAUGAAUGGAUGAUCUUCAAGGUGCAGGUAGAGACAAAUUUGGAAACAUAUGAAACAGUAAGUCCUUACCCUGCCCAUCAAUUGAAGCACACUAAUUAACAAGCAUAUAUUUACAUUUAAACAUAAGACCAAACCGAAUGUGCAAAGUUGAAGAUGCUCUUUUAUUGCUAGUUUGUUAUUUAUCCAAAGGCAUGUGCUGGCGACAAUCGGAUCGUUUCAGCAAGUUUAAAUAGGACCCCCAACAAGAGCAUAUUGGUUUUUAAUUCAGCCUAGUAAAAAAUUUCAUCACCUACAUCAGUGUCUCAAAGUAUGCAAUUCUACUAUGUUACAAUGAUCAAAGGCAGAAAUGGGAUAUUACUUUCAGUGCAGUAGGUAGUUGAAAUCUGGCUCUACCGAUGAAUGCGAAAAUAAUUGGACGGCAUCGAGACCUCAAAGUUGAUGCAAUCAAAAUCCCUUCAUACCACUCAAAACACAUCCAGCUAACUCCAUCAACCACUUCCAAAUGAGAAAGAGCAACAUUAGGUAUUUCCCUCCACUUCCUUUNNNNNNNNNNNNNNNNNNNNNNNNNNNNNNNNNNNNNNNNNNNNNNNNNNNNNNNNNNNNNNNNNNNNNNNNNNNNNNNNNNNNNNNNNNNNNNNNNNNNNNNNNNNNNNNNNNNNNNNNNNNNNNNNNNNNNNNNNNNNNNNNNNNNNNNNNNNNNNNNNNNNNNNNNNNNNNNNNNNNNNNNNNNNNNNNNNNNNNNNNNNNNNNNNNNNNNNNNNNNNNNNNNNNNCACAGACCCUGUCACUGGAGCAACAACUCUUCCUUGGGAAAGGUAUUCUAUCUGAGGAAUAAAUCAAUCUAGGAAACCAUUCCACUCGUACCACCACGUGAGACAAAUGAUGUGACAUAUUUCAUUGGUAUGAAUCUUAUCUUAUUCGACUGUCGCUUGAAUGUAAUGAAAAAUCCCACAACUCAUCACGACAUCAGGUGCAUAUUCAUGCUAUGGCAUUGGAGAAAAAACGUAUUCUCAUCGUCCUCCAACUCACAUUGAAACCUUUCUUCGCGAGUUUGAAGUUUUUUCGACCGGAGCUCAAUAGGUAGGAUUAUAACAUCAGGACGAUUGAUCAACUUUAACACCAUCCACCCCCCCCCCCCCCGGGCCUGUCCUCAAUUCUCCAGCAGCUCGAUGUGGUUCACGAUCAUUCAAACCCAGCAGCACUUUUUCUUCUACUGCGUGUUCCCCAAUAUCAACUUAGUAAGAAUUGAAUACCAGUGAUUUUCCAGUUCCCAGCACUUUGGCUUUCCUAAGAUAUUUAUUUGCCAAGACUUUCCUACUAGCAUCAUAUAGUGGGACCUGAAUGAUCCAAGGGGGAUGUAAUAAUGAGCAGAAAAGUUAUUCCAGGACCUAUAAAGAAGGGGUGCUUAGGGCCUUAUAACUUUUUUGCGUAGUGAUAUGCACUUAGUGUGAUGCUUGGGUCACAUAAUGAACCAUUAUCUGAAAAGAAAAUAAGUGGUUCAUGUUGGAUCAGCAAACAAAGUAGCCAGCCCAGUUUAAUCUAAAGAACAGUGGCUUAAGGAUGAAAACAUCCUUAAAAGUGCUUCGGAAUGACCUGCCUCCCUAGGUAUCCGCGAACUUCAAGCUGCAAAAAACCAUCAUGGUAUUUCUUGGCCUUUUGAGUUACUUGUGUGGUGUACAAAACCUGCCGUUCUACAUGACAGGGAAGUGUCAAUCUCCAAGUAGGACAUGCUCAGUUAAACUAACACAAAAAUAAAGGAAGGACACUGCCCACAAAAGAACAUUCACAUUCUCAUGUGUGUCAGAAACGACUGAAGAAAAAUAAUGAAUCUGUUAUUGUAUUCGUUAUUUCCAUAACCUCAAGCUAAAAGAAGGCAGUAAAUCCACGGCAAUAUCAAGAACAUAGUCAGCUGGUUAAUGAAAACUUCAUUAGAAAAUUUAUUGGCAAGUAGAACGAACAACUUGCUAAGUAAUGAAAACUUCAUAAGAAAAUGUAAGCAUAAAGAAUAUCCUGAGGAAUCCAUGUAACUCGGUUCAUUGCCCUCCUCUUUUGCAUGAAGUUCUCGUACUUAUGAGUCAUUCUUAAGUACCUAGAGCACAGUGCUAGAGCUAGGAAAAUCUCAAGAACGUAACCGGUCAAGGUGAAUUAUGGAUUUUUCAAAUGAAUGGACACACUCAGACCUUCUGUGAAGCACAAAGCUGAAAACUCAAUAGAUGCAGUGAUAUGGGGGGUAGUGGCGGCCUUUAUGAAANNNNNNNNNNNNNNNNNNNNNNNNNNNNNNNNNNNNNNNNNNNNNNNNNNNNNNNNNNNNNNNNNNNNNNNNNNNNNNNNNNNNNNNNNNNNNNNNNNNNNNNNNNNNNNNNNNNNNNNNNNNNNNNNNNNNNNNNNNNNNNNNNNNNNNNNNNNNNNNNNNNNNNNNNNNNNNNNNNNNNNNNNNNNNNNNNNNNNNNNNNNNNNNNNNNNNNNNNNNNNNNNNNNNNNNNNNNNNNNNNNNNNNNNNNNNNNNNNNNNNNNNNNNNAGUAUUAACUUCAAUAAAACAACGAAUUGAUUCAUGGCAUCUGCAAGUUCAAGGCCUUGCGGAAAUCAUCCCACAUCUCAUGAACAUCCCUUGGACUUGCAUCCUUAAAGCUCUGAAUCACAAUGUGUUUGCAAUAUCAUUCUGGUGAGUAUGGAGUAUCACCCAAUUACAUCAAUUGCAGAGCAGCUGAAUGAUAGGGUCCAUGGGAUAUAAACAAUGAGGGAGAAAUGUUAAUAAUCUAUUGGAAUUUUAAGACUUUAGGUUAGGAGGCAAGGUAUAUUACCUUCAUACAAAGACUAAACAUGUAAAAUAAACACUUUAUAGAACACUAGGAAAUGAAUCGAAUUGAACUGUAUUCCGGGUACCUUUUAAGGCAAAUUUAACAUUAAUAACAUUAUGCUGCUGCUUUUGCAUAUUAAUUUUUGAAGAGAAUUGAAACUGUUUCCACACGCAUUUAGAUCCCUAAAAAAUUCAUCGUUUGCUUCAUUGUUGCCACGUUCAACCAAAUGACCAAGAAAUUCCAUCAUCUCCCCAGGGCUUACUUCUUCAGCUUUGUUCAGGAACCUGCCAUCUAAAUGUUUCCAGCUCAUAUCAACAAGAAAACCUCGUAAAAGACCCAAAUAAGUUUUCAAUCAUCUGAGCCAUAUUUAUCCUGACAAAAAUUUUUCACUAAUCUGCUGAGAAAGGUAUACGUCAUGAAGAGGAAAACCAACUGAUAAAGGAAGGAAGAGCUGAAAUUUAAUCCAGCAACAACAUAGCUGGUAUUAUCUAAGGGUAAAAAUCAGGAGGAGAUGAAGACUGUAGAGCUUGACCUGCCUAGUCAUAGAUCCACUGCUCGUACAACUUAAGAAGCCAUCAUGACAUUUCUUCGACUUUUGAGUUAAUUGAGUUGUAUACAAGGCGUAUCAAUCUACAUCAAAAGGAAUAUCAUGUCAACUGCAGUGCCGAGACAACAAUAACACUCUCGAAUAUAACUGCAUAGAGAACAUUGAGACCAUUUUUCUAAGGGAAGUUUGGAUAUAUGCUAAAAAGCUCCAAUGAUUUUCAAGAGAAGCCACGAAAAUAUAUGAAACCACCUUGAUUGAGAAGAAUUAAUAUACGAAGCAUCAGAGCUGAGAGAAUCUUUAUUGAUCUUGAAAAGACUCUGUAUGUAAUAUAAAGAUGUGCAGAAACUGUAUCCCAAGGAAAAUCAAGAACGGAUUCACAAUCCAAGAGAUACAUCAAGAGAAAGACACGGCCUGGCAUGGGCAUAGAUGAGUCAGCAAAAGUCCAAACUCACCUGUCAUGCUUGAUGUCCUUGAGUUCGGACUCGCCUGCAAUAUGCCAUAUCUGUUCAUUUCAAAAAACAUAACAGAACGCGUGCUAAGUUGUUGUCACCGGCAUUUACAUUACUCUUAAGAUUCUUUUAUGUGUGCUUACGUUACUCUUUCCCUUUGAACAACAGCGAUGAAAUUGCUGGAUGGAGCGAGAAAGCAUAUGAUUAGAACUUUCAACCUUGUCCUUGUGUUUUACAGAAUGCGGAUGCGUGAAAUGUUCGUAGAGGAUGGAGUCCUUUCUCAGCACUCCGAAGCACCACCUACGAUAUACCUUACCAAGCACGCUUCCUUCACAAGAUUUAUCCGUUGGUUUAUUAGGACACAAAAUUUGGUGUUGGCUCGUGCUUAGUAACUUUCUCUCAGUUUCAGAAGCUAAGAAUCUGCGAUACUACAUGACGAGUGGCUUAAAUGGCAAAAUGUCUAUAGGCUAAAGUUGUAUGACCCAUUUUCUGGUUUAACUACCAUAGCAUAUUGCACGUAGCAAGAUUGGUCUAUCAGACAGAAAAUUCAUGAGUUACAGAACAACUUUUCUUGUUCUUCGGACAUCUUGAGGACACGAUCUUUUAUGACUGAUUCUCUUAUGAAUUGACAUUAUAUCCCCCACAUGAACAUCCUGUACCCGUUGGCAACCCAAGGAUCCACUUUAAUUUAUACUCAUGUUGAGAGGAAUAGGAGAACUGAUAUCGAGCGAUAUUCAUGAACAACUGUCUCUUCAAGGCUUUGUUUAGCAUGCGGAAGGCAAGAAAGGACUGCAAGCUAUACAUGUUCUUGGACGAGAACUAAGUAGAACAGGGGAUAAAAGAAAGUGGAGAAACCCAUAUCACAGUUUCUUUGCACCACAAGUAUGACCUAUGCUGUAUUUGUUAUGGUAGCUUAAGCUAGCUUAAGAUUUUGAGAAUAAUUUAAUGCAAUAAGAAACCGAAUGAAAAGAAAGUCCUGAUAAAAUCACAAUUUCUACAAGGAAUUCCUUUGGAAGAUUGUUGCCGCUCUAUAGUUUAUUGUUCACUCUUGCCUGUUAUUACAAACAGGAAAGGUAAAUAAUAAAGAAUGUUGUGGAAGCUGAGACACUGUUUCCUCUUGGUAAUUAUAUAAAGAUAGGCUCACAGUUCAGAAAACACAGCUAAAACUGGGCAGCCCUUGGAAGGAACAAAUAAAAUGGCUUAAGCAGCUAUUUAUCACAGUCACAGGCUGCUUGACCCUCAGUUUGAUCACUAAGAAGCUGCUGUUACAUGAUCUGCAUGCUAAGACACAGCUAAAACUGGGCAACUUUCAAGGGCUGGGUAUAUGUUAUCUAACGGAGCAUCUAAACCGAGCAUCUUUCUCGAUAGGAAUUGAACAAGCAUUGUCUACAAAUGAACAGUCUAUGAUGCAACUUUGACCUGCCAUAUAGAUAUUUGAAGACAUGAGAACAUACACAGUAUUAUUUCUGCUUCCUCAGCCGAAUUUCUUCACCAUGCGUUCACUUAUCUUAAUUUUAACUAAUAUCUCAGAUCAACGUGGGUGGCCUCUUUCCAUUUUGAUAUGUAAGCACAGUGAACCUCAAUAUGUUGAAUAGCGCUGCAAAUACAUUGAUUAUGUCGUAUAAAUAUGAAGUGUUUCAGACCAAACACCUAUAAAUGAACUUGGCACUAAAACACUCCCCAUAAAAACAAGAGCUCGAUCGUACAAAUUUCAAAUGCGAUAGGCACGAGAUUUUUGAGCACUCCAUUCAGAUUCUUGAGAGUAGCAAUACAGUCAAUUGAGCAAUGACCAUUGUUCAAAAUCCAAUAUCAAAACUGGGACACUCAGCCGUCACUUUCAAUUGAUCCCUAUCUCCUUCAGGGGUCUUCAAUUCAUCAUCAGCAUCACCCCAAGAAUGCGUGAAAGAGAUGCUUUUGAUGCAAGGCUUGUUGCCACAACAUUUGGGGUCAGCUUGCUCGUGAGAAGGCUGGAAGCGAUAAUUGGACCAGAUGUAUAUGCUAGUCAUACAGAAUUCAAUGCAAUUGAGAAUGUCCACUAGGUGAAUACAGAACUAGAUUUUGGUUUCCUACCAGCAGUUGCUACCUGCAGCUAAUUUGUUUCCGCUUGUAUCGUAGUCUGCACCAAAGAGUUUCAACAAACAUCAAAACUCGUGAAGUUCUAAUGGAGUUUUAAGAUGCUUAUAGUCACAUCCUUGCCACCAAUGGUUAAAAAAUGGAGCUGAAAGAAUUGAUUACCGUAAAUUUAACAGUACAAGUAGCUGUGGAAUAGGUGGGAGUUGCCAAUUUCAAAUCCCCCCGUAGAGCGAAAUUCAUUGAAAUCAGAGGAUGAUUCAGAUGAAAUUAUACAAUGUAGCUAAGGAAACAUAAACUAUGAGAAAGCUAACAUUAAAGUUAAAAAAAAAAAUAAAAAAAAAACGCUGAAUUGAAAGAAAUCAUGGCUAAACCAACCUUUUUAGACUUCAUGGGGCCAUGAAACUUUUCAUUGCCGAAGUUAUCAGUUAGAUUUCCAUUGUCCCAUACUCCAUCAAAGCUAGUUUAGCAGCUGGCGCUCUGUCUUUGAGCAGCAUCAUAAGAAUUAUCUGAAUGCUGAAGCUCUUCUAUUAGUGAAGCAAAACUUCCCUUCCUCUCAUAUAACUUCCCCAAUAGCAACUUGAUCUAAUGGUUUUCGGAGGACGGAUGAUAUUUGAUAGGCUGCAUCGAUUGGAUUACUAGAGCUCAUUUGCAAGCUGGAGUAAGUAAUACAACAUAGGUUCCUCCAAUAAAUAUGGGAGUUAACUUUGGAGGAAAUGCAAAAUAAAGGGGGACAGCAAUGCAUCGACAUUAAUACGGCCGCUCCCAAGCUUAGUUUAAUGACAUUCUUCUUUAGGACUAGGUUCAUGAAAAAAUCUAUCCAUUUUGUAACUCCUUUAUCUGAAAAGAUAUUUUCGUUUUACUUGUUAAAUAUCUAAAUUAUAUAUUGAUGACAAUAUCAAUUGUAUUCUCUAAUUCAUUUAUGGAAAGUUGUUUUUAGAUUCUUUAUUUAUCACUAAUGUAUCAGUUUGGGGUUUUUUUAUGGUAAAAAAAUUAGCUUGGAAUAAAGUUGUCACUUGUAUACCAGUUUGAAGUUUUUCGUGAUGUUAACCAUUUGUUAAAAGAUCCAGUUAAAAGUGAAUUAUUUAAUCCUUGCAUUUGAGAACCAAUUAUCACUUUAUCAAUCAUACGCGCUCCGUCCUUUUGAAUUUUCACUAUAUGCUCUGUAUCAAACCUCAUCAAUCAAUUACAAGUUUAAAUUGUAUAGAGUUGAAAUAACUCUCACUUCAAUUGGUGUCAAAGAUAUAUUUUUUUUCCAUAAAUAUGAAUAAAUAAUCCACGCAGAUGAUAGGGGAAAAUGAAAUGAACAAAAUGGGCAAAUUGCAGAAUAGAUAAAUUAUGAUAGUAUAUACUCGAGCUUCGAAACUAUUACACCCAAUGGCUGAAAAGAGAGAAUCUAAGUUUCAGUUCAUCCUUGAAAAAAAAAAUGAUAGGCUCCUACAAAUAUGAUGCAAUCAAUUUUAGAGAUGAUUGUCAUGUAAGCUGAGCUUCAGCUAGAAGUCUAACUUGUUGCCCAAGUUUGGGAUCCACAAUUAUAGAUGCAACUUUCAACUGAGUGGAUCCUCAACUCCAUUGUUAACAAAUGAAUUGAUAAUGAGCAUAGAGGCCCAAAUUCUUCAAAGCCAUGGUGAUUUCCUUUUCUCAAGCAUUCUUUCUUGAACUUUGAUCAUCAAUUCUUUCCACAAGAGUUUCUCUUCUAUUACAUCCAAAUCUCCUGACUCAUUGAGGAUCUUACUCAUGCUAAAUGCCUUUUCUCAAAUAUGCUGAAAAUAAAGGAUUAAAUAAGGUACCAUGCUGGUGUAAAUUACUUUUCAAACAAGUGACGAUAAAAUGGAACCUCAAUGGAAUGCGUUCAUUUGUUAAAAUUAAAUACAAUAUACAUGUCAACACUAGAAUUGGGCUUGUUUAAUGAUUUCUUUACCUAUCAUCAGUGUACAAAAUAAAAGUGAGAAACAAGUAAUGACAGAUACAGAAAUGUUCAAGCUCCGCACUCGGGAGCCACUCCGGAUGUUCCUUCGCCUUCUGGAAAUAUACAAACCCACUAGGGAUGGUCCUGCAUUCCAACAAAUAAAGAAAUGUUCAGGCACCGCACAACUUUUGACCUGGAUGAAUUCUUCAGCACACUAUGAAUCUGCUGUUUGCUAUCUACAUCGGCACUUCUUCAAGCACGAGGUUUCCAUACUGAGCCUACCUUGCAGGCCAAACAACACGUAGAUGUGGUAAGUGUCGGUUUUAUAUCUGUCCGCAGUACCACAAUAGGAUAAACUUUCCUAACCCUUGAAAAGGAUAUAAAUUAGCAACCCCAUAGAAGAGGUUUCAUGAGACCCUCCUAGGCCUGAACUGGUGCUGGAGAGUAUAUUAUCCUUAUGAGCGAAUUAGUCAAUUUAAAAACAGAAUUCCAGGUAGAGAAAAGCUAAAAAUUCCCUCAUCGCAGGAGAACAGCAGCAUUUGCCGUGCGUCGCCAAUCGAUACAUAAUCAUUUGCUUUUUCGCUACAUCCAGCAACUUCAUCUCUGUUGUCCAAAGGGAAAGAAUAAAGUAGGCACGCAUAAAAAAGAACGUCUAGAUAUACAAAGAAAUGAAUUACUCAUUCCGCAAGCAACACGCCGAUUUCGGUUUUUAGCCACCCCAGUUUCUACUAUCGCCCGCCCAUUUCGUCAAACAUCUGACCAGCGCUACGAAACGCUCGGAUCUUCUGCCCAUUCCAUUGCAGCUUUCAUGGCGACGAUUUCAACGCCACGAGUGAAGAUUCUCGCUUCUUCAUAUGCUUCCCAUCCAGCGUCUUUAUGGAGAAGCAUGGAAUUCGCUCCACCUCCUCUCGCGUGCCCUUCGCCCUUCACCUUGUCAUCUCCCGGCGCGUGGGAGAACUUCCGCAAUCUUCCAUGAGCAAGGCCCGAGUUUUUCCACUCUCCACCAGGAGCGAAACGACGGAUUCCCCCUGAAUUGAAGUCCACGAGGAUGAUAGGGAAAAUCAGGCGAACGAAAUGGGCAAAUAGCAGAAUGGAUGGAAUUUUUAUAACGAAUACGUCAUGUCAACUUCGAAAUAACCGACCAAAAAAAGAAAAACUUCGAAAUAAUUGCACACAGAUGGCUGGGAAGUAGCCUAGCGUUCUUGCGUAUGCUGCAAGGGUGGCUUGACUCAAUAGAGAAGACAGAGCGUGAAAUAAAGAAAUAUAUGAAUUCGAUUAGUGCGCGUGCGUACGGUUCACUUAUUAUUAGAUAAAAAAUAUAUAUGAUAUAAAUUUAUUCAAAAUUAAUUUUCUGACUAUAAAAUUCUAAAGUGAUAUGCUUGUAAUAAAUUUACCCUAAACUAAUUUUUAACUACGAAAAACCUCAUAUUAGUACAUCUGUGACAAAUUUACCUAAAUAUCAAAAAUAAAAAAGUAGUACAUUUAUGACAAAUAUACCAUAUGUUAAAUUAAAUUAAUAUCAUGAAAAAUCACAAAAAUUGUACAAACUGUGACGAACAUAGGGUAUAUACCCAUCAACUAUCAUUUAUCAGCCAACUUAAUAAUUUAACAAUAAAAUUUAAUGAAAACUAACAAAGGAUAAAUAUAUCACAACUAUAUUGGUUUAGGUUUUUUUUUGUGGUAAAAAAAUUAGUUUGGGUAAAUUUAUCACAUGUGUACCAAUUUGAGGUUUUUUGUGAUAAAAAAAAUUAGUUUUGAACAAAUUUGUCAUAAGUGUACUAGUUUAGGAUUUUUCGUGGUCAAAAAAUUAAUUUUGAAUAAAUUUGUCACAAAUGUACAAAUUUGAAGUUUUUCCUAAUAUUAAACUUUUAUCAAAUUAAAUUGAUAUUUCUUGGGAAAAAAAGAAAAAAGAAGAAGAAAAUUGGCUCCCAUCUAGCUCUUGCACCUUAAAUUAAAGAGAACAAAGACGCAUUCAGUUGAAAUUAAAUUUCAAAGAUCAAAUUGAACAUUGAUUAAGAAUUUAGGGACCAAAUUUGAUAUCACCUUCCCAUUUAAAUCUGGAGCCCACUGACCGAGUGAACUUUUAGAAUUAAAAGCUACUAAACACUUGCAUGUCCACCUUCCUUUCGCGCCAAUGACUCUUAACAAGACAUCGAAGCCUCGUGAAAGCUGCAUUAUCAUAGAGCACUGCCAUUCUGAAAUUUACACACUUUGUUCGUUUCAUUCUCCCUCUCAUCCUUGUGAGCUUUGAUGGCGGAAUCUAUUAUUCCACUCACUGUGGAAAAUUCUCACAACUCGCUCGUAGAAGAUGCGAAACUCUUGCGGGUUUGGUGACGGGACAAGCAAAGGGCACGCGAGAGGAGGUGGCGCAAAUCCAGUGCUUCUCGAAAGACGCUGAUGCGAGACUAGACGAAGUGGGAGUCAUUCCUUGUGGCAUUGCAGAUGUCAUCGUCAAAGUCGAUGCUAAACCAAAGAUUAGGGAAGAUCCGAGACUGAUAGCGCAAACCAAGGACAGCGGUACAUCACUGUCGUGGACCAAGAAGUAACCUUAUCGCAUUUUCAGAAUAUGCUCAAAGCAUAUGCCUUUUGAGUCAUUAAAAGCUCUAUCUCGCACAACGCUAAUUAUUACUAUAUCCACAUUAUCAUCAAAUUACAGGCCAAUUAAGUAUCUUGAUAGGUGGGGUCCAAAUCAUGCAAAACAACAAAAGAUUCGAUUUCAUACAAUUAAGAAAUUUGUACCUAUUUUCUUUCCCUCAGUGAGGAAAAAGAAACCAUUAAAAAAGGAGUGUGGGACACCUGGAGUGCCAUAACUUGGCACACCGGGACACUUAAGUGCCAUAACUUUAAAAUGGUACACUUAAGUGCCAUCAUCGGAGUAAAAUGGGACACUUAAGUGCCACUCCGGCGAAAAUCCGGCCAAAUGGCUGACGUGGCGACUUUCCGGCGAGCUCGGUCCCAAACGGCGUCGUUUUGCACGCUGACGUGGCGGAGAAAAUGCAAAAACGACGCCGUUUCGCGUCUACGUGUAAAUAAUAGUAUAUAAAUUAAUUAAAUUAGAUUUAAAAUAUUCAAAAAAUUUAAAAAAAAUAAGAAAAAUUAAGAAAAAUUUUAAAAAUUAAGAAAAAUUUUAAAAAUUAAGAAAAAUUUUAAAAAUUAAGAAAAAUUUUAAAAAUUAAGAAAAAUUUUAAAAAUUAAGAAAAAAUUUAAAAAUUAAGAAAAUUUAAAAAAUUUAAAAAAUUAAGAAAAAUUUAAAAAAUGUUAAAAUUUUAAAAAUUUUAAAAAAUAAGAAAAAUUUAAAAAAUUAAAAAAAUUAAGAAAAUUUUAAAAAUUAAGAAAAUUUUUAAAAAUUUAGAAAAUUUUUAAAAAAUUUAAAAAAAUUAAGAAAAUUUAAUUUUUUUUACAUUAAGAAAAUUUUUAUUUUUUUUAAUUUAAGAAAAUUUUAAAAUUUUUUAAAAAUUAAGAAACUUUUUUAAAAAAAUUAAAAUUAAAAAAAUUAUAAAAAAGGGGGGAGGGGGGGGCCGAAGGGGGGGGCUCCCUUGCCCCCCCCGCCGACUCCUUAACCGCCGCCACUUCGGCCGCCGCCGCCGCCUCCCCCCCCCCCCCCCUUUUUUAAUUUUUAAAUUUUUUUAAAUUUUCUUAUUAUUAUUUUUUAAAUUUUUAAAAAUUUUUAAAAUUAAAAUUUUUUAAAUUUUAUUAUUUUCUUAAAUUUUUUAAAUUUUUUAAAAAAAAAAAAUUUAAAUUUUUUUUUAAAAUUUUAUUAUUUUCUUAAAUUUUUUUAAUUUUUUUAAAAAAAAAAUUUAAAUUUUUUUUAAAAUUUUAAAAUUUUUAAAAUUUUCUUUUUUUAAAAUUUUUUUUAAAAUUUUUUAAAAUUAAAAUUUUUAAAAUUUUCUUUUUUUAAAAUUUUUUUUUAAAUUUUUUAAAAUUAAAAUUUUUAAAAUUUUCUUAUUUUUUAAAAUUUUUUAAUUUUUUAAAAUUAAAAUUUUUAAAAUUUUCUUUUUUUAAAAAAAGUUUUAAAUUUUUUUAAAAUUUUCUUUUUUUAAAAAAAGUUUUAAAAUUUUUUAAAAUUAAAACUUUUAAUUUUUUUUAAUUUUUUUUUAAUUUUUAUGCUGAUUUGGAGCUCCGGCGAGCCACGUAGGCCAAAAAUAAUAAUAAAAUAUUGCCACGUAGGAUUUCCGGCAAGGGUCGCCGGAGGUGGCACUUAAGUGUCCCACUCGAAAAAAAAAGUGGCACUUAAGUGUACCGUUUUGAAGUUAUGGCACUUAAGUGUCCCGGCGUGCCAAGUUGUGGCACUUGUGGUGUACUUCUGCCAUUAAAAAAGAGUAGUUAUGAAUUUCUACAAAGCUUUUGAGAAUUUAGAGGUAAUAAUAAUGGUAAUAUGUUAGCAGACAGGGAGUGCCAAUGCACUGGCGCUGUUUAACAUUGAUUAAAAUUGUCCGACUUAUGCUUCGAAAACUCGAAUCAUCCCUCAUCUUUGAUUAGAGGGAGUUCGCCAUUAGGAAGCAACUUUUGAAAAUUCAGCACAAGUUGUUGCACAUCAUUUUUUAAGCACGUGAAAUAGAAGUGUCGUGUUGCUUUCGAUUUGUAUAGUCCAAUUCUUGCAUCUAGAGGAACAACAAGAUGUAAACUAUAAAACUCAAUAAGAAAAAUGGAAAACUGUGAUUAAAAAAAUACCAAUUAGCUUUUUCAAUACAUAUUAAUCGAAGGGACGAGCAACAACAGUGAGGCACCUUCUCAGUUUCUUCUCAUAAUUUCUUCAGCUCCGGUGCUUCCUUCUUUCGUUACAAUUUUUCGCGCGGUUGUCCAUUAAAGGGACCCAACAAGGACAAAAAGAAGAGAGACAAAGCAUCGGUCGUCGAAGCGUGAAGCGUGAACCAAGAAGCGACCUCUGUCGUUUCUCGCCAUUCUUUAUGGCAUCCCUGUAACAAAUUUUUAGCUUCGGCAGCUCACAUGUUUUCUCUUUUUUCUUUUUUGACAAUUUUUGCUUAUUGACUACCCCGCCAUGUGCAUUGGUCUUUCUUUUACAUUUUCUUUAGGUAGAGUUGUCUGGGCAAAAGUGUUCCAUGUAGAAGUUGUCAUUUAUCUAGGGCAUGCAUGUUUUUGUUCUUUAUUUCUGUUCUUGAACUUUUUUUUUGUUUUUUUGUUCCCAGGAACAAAAAAAGAACAGAAACGCGUUUGGUUGCGUUUCUAUUCUUUUUUUGUUUUUUUGUUCCCGAAACAAAAUAGGAACAAAAAAAAGAAACAAAAAAUUUUUACUUCUUGUUUCAGAAACAAAAAUGAAGAAACGUUUCUCUUCUUCUUUUUUUCUUCUUUUUUCUUUCGCCGGUCACCGGCCUCGGCCAUGGCCGGCGACCAGCCGUUGAGGGCCGGCGACGCCGUCGAGGGUCGGCAACCUCGCCGGAGCGUCGCCGGCCCCCGGCGAGGCCGAGCCUCGCCUUGGCUGGGCGAGCUCGGCCUCGCCCAAAUCCGGCAAGGCUCGGCGUCACCGGAUCUAGGCGAGCUCGAGCUCGCCGAGCCUCACCUUGGCUGGGCGAGCUCGAGCACGCCUAGAUCCGGCGACACCGAGCCUCGCCAGGGGCCGGCGAGCCUCGCCAUGGCUGGGCGAGGCUGCUAGCCCCGUCGGCCGGUCGCCGGAGGCCGGGGACCGGCCGAAAAAGGAAAAAAUAAAAAAGAAAGGAAAAAUUGAAAAAUAAAAUAAAAAUGUUUAAAAAAUUAAAAGAAACAAAAAAAGAAUAAAAUUUACCAAACGUGUUUCUGUUCAUUUUUUAUUCCCGAAACAAACGUUACCAAAUGCGUUCUUUUGUUAAAAAAUUGUUCCCCGGAACAUAAACACUUUUUUUUGUUUCUGUUCCCGGGAACAGAAAAGGAACAGAAACAUUACCAUGCAGCCCUUUAUCUACCAAACUUUUUCUCCGUCUCUUUCGGUGGUGAUUGUUGAAUAUGGCAGAUGAAAAGCCACGUCUUAAUCUUAUGGGUAAUCCUUCUCUAAACAUGUGAAUGAAAGAAGUGAGAGCGAGCCUCCCUCCUAAUGCUAUUUUCUCAUCCUAUGCUAUGCUACUUUGAAGGCUUUUUAUAAAUUUAUCAUAAUCUUAUUAAAAAUGGCUUUGAGGACACUAAUUAAAAAAAUCAUUUUCAUUUUCAUUAUACUAUUUGCUCAAAAUAUGAGAAAUUUUUCUACCGAAAACUUCAAAUAUCAAAAUUAAAUUCUUGGAAUAUCUCUAUCUUCCAAAUAAAUUCACACCUAUAGUAGCUUAGAAAAGCUGUGAGUGUAUUCUUUGUUUUCGUCCAGAGAAGUGCAAGACAAACCGCCAAAACUACAAAAAGUAAUCCGUUUGGAAUCUACGCCAUCAGAAAAGUUGGAGAUAAUUUCACAACUUGGUAAACUUAUGAAUACCUCAAAUCUGCCUCCCUUUGUUUCUUUGCUCCCUGGCAAGGGUUCAGCCUAUACGAUUUGCGUAAAAUGUCUAGCAAUCCCUAUGCUUGUAAACUAUACUUAUAUGGCCAAAUCAAGAUGUUGGAACACAAGUAUAUGCCCCUGCAUCUGAGGAGAUUGGUCUUGGUCAGGCUGAGGAACCUUGAGGAAUGCAUAAUUGCUAAAGGAGCCAUGCCACAUCUUUCUCAAGUUGGGGUCGAAGUCUGUCCAAAUUGAGGAAUGUAUCUAAAGGAAUCCAUGUAUGCAACACCAAGGGAGACAUUGUGGAGGCUGUUGAGAAGCCAUAUCGAAGGGAGAAAUCAAAACGAUAGAUGAGUAGUACUUGAUGACUGGCUCUAUUUAGUUGUCAAAUUUAAAGUAGUAUCUUUCAAAAGCCAAUAAUUUUGGUAGUGAAUUGCUCAGUUCGCAGAUUAAGUAGCAAUGGCAAUACACAAUAAUAACAUAACAAGAUUAAUUGGCUUGAAAUCUUCGUGUCGGAUCAAAUUUCAAACCAAAAGGCAUAGUUUGUUGAUUUUACUAGAUUUUUCCGUACCAAACCAACCAGAAUGUAUCCAUCCCAUCUUAAUCCGCUCUUUCAUGCUGUUUUAUUAGCCUUGCAUUUUUCUUGAAAAUCAUUAAAAGUAGCCUUCGACUCUGAUUUCUUUAGGGGUUAAGAUGAACAAUUUUAUAGUUGGCGCUAAAAUGGGCUCCUGACCAGUCUUUGAUUGGUUAAUUUAAGGAACCAAUUUGCGUUUUGGUGCAGGGGAUCAUUACCCUUAUUGCAAAGAAACCCUAAUCCUCUGUUCUCUCUCUGUUAGUCGCUUGUCUCAUUUCUGUCGACAAAAGGGGUCAUCAUCAACAUCUACGAUCAGGUGUCAUCAUCACCACAACCAUCGCGAAUUUCAUUGCCGUCGAAAAAACGUUAUCAAGUCAUCCUAGGUACGGUGUAAAAAUAGUCAGGUAAAUAAGUGUCGUACCGUCUUGUAACUUUCAUGCACUGAACUAAAAUCUCCUAUCGUGGACCGGCCACCUAAAAAUAGAGUCCCAUAAAAUCACUUUUUCUUUUGAAUUUAAGAAUCUCAAAUCAUAUGAAAUGCAAAUUCCGCAUCAUUUUAAUGAUUCACUUGUUUCCUGUUUGGUUAGAGUUUCGGGAGCUUUUCACAUUACCAACUAGGAGAUCACCUGUUAAUGUCAUUAAUUACAUGCAAUUGUUCGGGAUUAGGCUAAUUGUGGAUCAAAAGCAUGAACUUAACAGGUUUGGGAAGUUUGUGGGUAUGUCACGGGCUUUUAAGGAAUCUAUCCUCCAGGCCUGUGUCUAGGAUUGUGAAAAUAAAAGAAAAAAGAUGCAACCACCGCUCGUUAAUCUUUUGUAAGACUUUCAUGAAUAGAUUAAUACAAAUUACAAACAUCAUCCAAAAGUAUAAAGUUUAAUAAAGCAUAUUGCAGUCACAUGUUAAACUUUUCAAUGAUGGAGCAUUUCAUGAACAUUAUAUACUUGUGGUCCUUUUGCAUAUAACUAACCGCUAUUAUGGCAUCAUGGAUACUCACACACUCACGUUUUAGAGUCAAAAUAUUUAACCAUCAACUCAUUAUGAAACAUAUAGUUUCUAGCGGUGAGUGGUGAUGGUGAUUGUGAUGAUCCGAGCAUUUUUCAAAUGCUGCCUAUAUGAUUUAAAACAUCAUUUGAGUGCAUGAAAUAAAAGCAGCAUGUUGUUUUGGGUUUGUAUAGUUCAAUUCUUGCAUUUAGAUUAAUGAUGAGAUAUAACAUAUAAACUGAAGUAGAAAAACGAAAAAAGCGUAAUACCACUCAAAGGGACGAGCAACACGAAAAAUAUGACAAAGUAACUCCCAUGCAUCGGUCUUUCUUUACAAUUUUUCGUGCAGUUGUCCAUCAAAGGGGACCCAAAAAGACAAAAGAAAAUAGACAAAGCAUUUGGGGUCAAAACGUGAAGCACGAAGCAAGAAGCAACCUCUUUCGUCUUUCACUAUCCUUUGUAGAAUUCCUGGAACGAAUUUUUGGCUCCAAUUGCUCAUUUCUUUUUCUUUUUAUUUCUUUUAACAAUUUCUCUUGAUUGACUACUCUAUCAUGGUGCGUUGGUCUUUCUUUAGAUUUUCUUCUCUUAAAGCUGUCUGAGCAAAAGUUUUUUCUACAAAAAUUGUGAUUUAUCUAACAACCUUUUUCUCCCUCUCUUGUAAUACUAAUUGUUUAAUCUGGUAGAUGAAAGGUCACAUCAUAAUCUUAUGGUAAUCCUUAUCUAAAUAUGUGAAUGAAAGUAGCCAGAAUGAGCCAUCCCCCGAUACUACUUUAAAGGCUUUUUAUAAAUUUAUCAUAAUCUUAUUAAAGAGUCUUUCAGGGCACUCAUUAAUCGUGCCUAAUAAAGAAAGAUUGUUAUCUUCAUUAUAUUGGUUGCGCAAUAGAGAGAAAAUUUUCCACUAAAGACUCACAUAUCAAGAUUGGUUUACACAAACAUGUAUCAUAUAUUCUUAGAGUAUCUCUACUUUCCAAAUAAAUUCGCCACUUUGUUGAUUGAGAAAAGCUGUGGUUGUAUUUUUUAUUUCGUAUAGAGAAAUGUGAGAUAAUUUGCCAAAAUUACAAAAUUACUUCGUUAGGACUAUGCAUCUCCUCCCGAAAAAAACAUGAGAUAAUUCCACAACUUGAUAAACUUAUGAAUGCCUCAAAUUCGCCUCCCUUUGUUUCUUCCCUUCUUGGUGAGGGUUCGGUCUAGAUGAUUUGCGUAAAAUGUCUGGCAAUCCUAUCCUUGUAAACUAUACUUACAUGGCCAAACCAAGAAGAUGUUAGAACACAAGUAUAUGCCCCUAUAUCUGAGGAGGUUGGUCUUGGUUGGGCCGUGGAAUGGAAUGGAGAGUCACUAAAGGAGACAUGCCACAUCUUUGUCCAAAUUGAGGAUGUAUCUAAAGGAAUCCAGGUAUGCAACAUUGAGGAAGACAUUAUGGAGGCCGUUGGGAAGCCACGUCAAAGGGAGAAAUGGAAAUGCUACGUGAGUAAUACUUGGCGACUUGCUCUGUGUAGUUGUCAAAUUUAAAGCGACAUUUCUUGAAAGCUAAUAAUUUUGCUAGUGAAUUGCUCAUUUUGCAAAAUAAGUAGCAAUGACAAUACACAAUAAUAACGUAAGAAGAUUAAUUGGUUUGGCAUAACCAUGUCAAAUCUAAUUUGGAACCAUAAAGCGAAAUUUGUUGAUUUCACUAGAUUUUGCCGGACCAAACCAACCGGAACAUAUUUAUCCCAUCUUAAUUCGCUCUAUUAUGCUGUACAUUGGCAAUGCAUUUUUCUUGAAAAUUAUCAUAAUUAGCCUCGAACUCCAAUUUCUUCAAGGUUUAAGAUGAACAAUUGUGUAGUUGGGGCUAAAUUUGGCUGUUGACCAGUCUUGAAAUUGGCUAUUUUAAGUAACCAAUUUGUUCUCAUGCGCGCCAUAUAGGCUAAUAAUGUGGUGGCUAUUAACUAUUUGAUAUUUUCUUUCAGUUCAAGGUCUAAAAAUAGUUGAGAAAAUAAGUAUUGUGUCCUCUCUGUCAGUAUAAAGUUGUGUAUAGAAUAUUGCCGCCACAUGUUAAAGUAUUAAAUGGUGGAGUUUUUCAUAGGCAUUAUAUACAUGCGGUCUUUUUGCGUCUAACUAAUUGCUUUUAAACUUUUGGAUUAUAAUCUCUAAUGUCAUAUCAACAUAUUUUAGGCUCUGUUCGUUUCAUAAAAAUUAACUUCCAACAUUUUUCAGAUCUUUCAGGAUUCGUUUAAUGGAAAAUAAAUUAGUUGUGGAAUAUAUUUUCCAUCAAGGAAAAAAAGUAUUGUAAAAGAGGAUAAAAUAUUUUCCACUUUUAAAAUUUGGGAAAUAUAUUUUUCUUACUUGCUCUCUCUGUUAUCUCAUACCUUACUCGCCUCCUUCUUUCUUGUUUUCUUUUCUAAUAAUUCGUAUUUUAAAUUAUUUUUCUUUUUAUUUUAUCUUGUCUUAAUUAUUUUUCUUUUUCUUUUUUUCCACCUUCUUCUUUGGUCAAUCCCCGGCACGGCUACGACUGGCGAUCGGCCAAAGGUGAGCCUGGAGCUUGCUGGCCUUGGGCCCUGGGCCUCGCAAUUUAUCCUUAAUAUUGUAUAGUUGAAUGUAAUUAACAUGGACGAGUGUGACCAAUUUGUGUGCGUGUUUAUGAGAAGGCAUGAGCCAUGAUAUAUCUUACAAUAGAUAUGGUUUGUUUUUGCACCACAAGAAACAAAAUUGUUGCUAUGAAAAGUAUGACGAUGAAUUGACGCCGCAUAAAGCAAAAAUAUGAUUAUUAAAGUUGAAUUAUUGCCAUUAGCCCAUGGGAAGCCAAUCUUCUUUUGACGGCACAUAAAGCAUUAAUAUGAUGCUGAAUCAUUGCUCAUAGGCCGUGUGAAACGAAUCUUCUUUUGACGGGACAUGAAGCAAAAAUGUGAUGGUGAAUUAUUGCUCCUAGCCCAUGUGCCAUUACUCAUAAGCCAUCGUCAAAAUAGUUAGCCGUGGACGGUAGUGAUGAUGAUGAUCCGAGCAUUUUUUAAUUGUGGCCACCUGUUUGACAAAAUUAUUGUUCAAGCGCAUGAUGAUGCCCGUGUGAUUUAAAUUAUUGUUCAAGCGCAUGAAAUAGAAGUGGCAUGUUGCUUUUGGUUUGUAUAGUCCAAUUCUUGUGCAUAGAUGAAUAAUGAGACAUAAAAUAUAAAACUCAACAAGAAAAGUGAAAAACCGCGAUUAAGAAAACGCCAAUUGGCUUUUACAAUACACAUUAAUCAAAGGGACGAGCAACAUGCAAAAUACGACAAAGCAAAGGCAAUUGAAACAGCGAGGCACCUCCUCAGGUUUUCUCUCAUAAUUUCUUCAUGUCUCGUGCAUCGGUCUUUCUUUACAAGUUUUCGUGCAGUUGUCCAUCUAGGGGACCCAAAAAGACAAAAAGAAAAGAGACAAAGCACUGGGGGUCGAAACGUGAAGCAUGGAGCAAGAAGCAACCUCUCGUGUUUCGCAUUUCUCUGAAGAAUUCUUGUAAUGAAUUUUCCGCCGCGACUGCUCGUUUAUUUUUAUUUUUAUUUUUCUUUUCUUUUGACAAUUUCUGUUCCUGUAGAAGUUGUCAUUUAUCUAACCAACUUUUUCUCUGUCUCUUGCGGUGUUAAUUGUUGAAUCUGGCAGAUGAGAAGUCACGUUAUAAUCUUAUGAUAAUCCUCCAAACAUGUGAAUGAAAGGAGGAAAAGUGAGCCUCCCUUCUUUGCUACUUUGCAGGCUUUUUAUAAACUUAUUAGAAUCUUAUUUAAGAGUGCUUUAAGGACAAUCGUUAAUCAUGUCUAUUAAAGACAGGUUGUUACUUUAAUUAUUGAUUGCACAAUAGGUGAGAAAUUUUCCACUAAAAACUUUCACAUACUUUUAGAGUAUCUCUUACUUCCAAAUAAAUUCGCCCAUUUAUCGGUUGAGAGAAGCUGUGAUUGUAUUCUUUGUUUCUUCCAAAGAAAUGUGAGAUGAAUUGCCAAAACUACAAAAGUAGUCCGUUUGGGAUCCGCGUCUCCUAAAAAUCAGGAUAUAAUAUUAUGACUUGGUAAAUUCACGAACAUCUUGAAUCCGCGUCCCUUUGUUUCUUUGCUCCUUGGCAAGGGUUCAUCCCAGACAAUUUAUGUAAAAUGUCUAGCAAGCCAUUUGGUUGUAAACUAAUAUGGCCAAAUCAAGAAGAUGUUGGAACACAAGUAUUUGCCCUGACAUCUAAGGAGGUUGGUCUUGGUUAGGCCGCGGAAUUUAUAGGAAUGCAAAAUUGGUAAAGGAGCCAUGACACGUCUUUCUCAAGUUGGGUUUGAAGUCUAUCCAAAUUGAGGACUGUAUCUAAAGGAAUCCACGUAUGCAACACCGAUGGAGACAUUGAGGAGGCCGUUGGGAAGCCAUAUCGAAGGGAGAAAUCAAAACACUACGUGGGUAGUAUUUGACGACUUGCUCUACCUAGUUGUCAAAUUAAAAAAAAAAAAAUUCCUCUAAAGCUAAUAAUUUUGGUAGUGGAUUGCUCAGUUUGCAAAUUAAGUAGCAAUGGCAAUAGACAAUAAUAAGUAAGAAGAUUAAUUGGCUUGAAAUCUUCAUGUCAAAUCAAAAUUCAAACAAAAAUUCAAAAUAUGUUGAUUUUACUAAAUUUUGCCUUACCAAACCAACCGGAAUAUGUCCAUCUCAUCUUAAUUUGCUCUUUUAUGCUGUUUAUUAGCCUUGCAUUUUUCUUGGAAACUAUUAAAAGUAGCCUUCGACUCCAAUUUCUUCAAGGGUUAAGAUGAACAAUUUUUGUAGUUGGUGCUAAAAUUGGCCGCUGACCAGUCUUUGAUUGGUUAAUUUGAGGAACCAAUUUGUGUUUUGGUGUAGAAGAUCAUUAGCCACAUCGCAAAGAAACCCUAAUCCUCUGUUCUCACUCUAUUAGUCGCUUGUCUCAUCUCCGUCAACAAAAGGGAUCAUCAUCACCAUUUACGAUCAUUGUAGUCUGACGUAAUCAUCACCCCAGCCAUCACGAAUCUCAUUGCGAUCGAAAAAGGGUUAACGCGUCGUCCUAGGUAUGUCUAAAAAUAGUCGUGAAAAUAAGUGUCCUACCAUCUUCUAACUUUCAUUCACUAAACUAGAAAUCUCUUACCGUGGACUGGCCACCUAAAAAUAGAGUUCCAUAAAAUCACUUUUUCUUUUUAAUUUAAGAAUCUCAAAUCAUAUGAAAUGCAAAUUCUGCAUCAAUUUAACAACUCUCUUAUUUCAUGUUUGAUUAGAGCUUCCAAAGCUUUUCACUUUGCAAAUUGGGAAAUCGCUAUACUCAUGUCAUUAGUUGCAUGUAAUUUUUCUGGAUUAGGCCAAUUUUAUAGAUCAAAAGCUUGAACAUAACGGGCUUGGGAAGUUUGUAGGGUAUUUCACAGGCUUUUAAGGAAUCUGUCCUCCAUGCAUGUGCCUUAGGUUGUGAAAAUGAAAAGAAAAAAAAUGUAACAACCACUCAUUAAUCUUUUGUAAGACCCUGCAUGAAUAGAUAAAUACAAAUUAUAAAUAUCAUCCACAAGUAUAAAGUUGUAUAAAGCAUGUUGCAGUCACAUGUUAAACUUUUCAAUGAUGGGGCUUUUCAUAGGCAUUAUGUACAUGUGGUCCUUUCCAUUUAACUAAUUGCUUUUAAACUUUUGGAUAAUAAUUUCUAAUCUGACAUCAUAAAUACCCACCGCACUUACAUUUUUAGAGUCAAAACAUUUAACUGUCAACUCAUUGCUAAAAUCACUAUAGCUUUUUCCUAAAUCUUCGAAAUGUGAGAAAUGCACAUAUAAAAUUUGCAAAUUAUAUAAGCAGUUCAAUCAUCGCCAUUUACCCUUAAUUUUGUAUAAUUGAAUGUAAUUAACAUGGACAAGUGUGACUAAUUUGUGUGCGUGUUUAUGAGAAGUAGAUAUAAAAAAUAGUGUCCUCACAUGGAGAUGGAGAACUUGGAGAAUGCAUGCAUCGCUCUUAAUCAAUCUAACCCCAUGAGUAGACCUAGACAAAAUUAAGUUUAAUCUGUUAUUAUAGUAGAAUCAACUCUAUGCACACUUGAUGACAUCGACUGUCUUCACUGGUCUAAGAGUUGUAAGGCAUUGACGUAGGAAUAGGCCAACUAGGGUUGCUCAUGACCAGAUCAAUUUAGUUUUACUUUAGCAGGGUUGAAAUAGGUGCCGCCUGUGGGCUUGUGCUUACUCUUGAUUGUUGGUAUUUAGAAGCCAUCUUGUAAGAUCCACUUGGGCUAGACAGCAUAGGAAAAUCAUAUAAGAUUUUUCUUUAUUAAAAAAAAUAAACUUGCGCCCUAUACCAGACAUAUAGAGAAUGAAAUUUUGUGAUUGUCAUGUUGCAACAUGAAGAUAUAAUGUUUUUAUAAAUGUCAAGGAAUCACGGUACAUAGAUUAUAUGAUUUGAUGUGUGAUAUGCUUCAAGCAUAUCAAAAGAGGAGAGCUGGAUUUGUACAAAUUAUAGUCAAAACAGAGGGGAAAAAAGCUAGGGAAAGUUUCAUGUUCCAAAGUAAGUGCUGGAUUUGUGCAUCAAAGAAGUUGUGGUGAUGAUUAAAAACUUAAUAUAUCUCUAAACACAAGAUCUCACGCCUUCAUAGCCAAGUGUAGAAGGGAAAUUGCCAUGACUCUUUGAAUGGCCAAAAAGUUGUGCCCCUUCUUUACCGUUGGAUGUGCAAGAGAUGCAUCAUCGUUCGGGAGACAACAAACCCUCACCAUUAGAUCGACAAUUGGAUUUUGCUUGAUAACUUUGUCAUGCAAAAUUCCACGGCGCGUUAAGAAGGUCUUGCAUUAUAUUAAGUAAAAAGAUGGUAAAUCCAAUGCCAAGAUUAUAGUCUCUCUCCCUUCACUUAGGCUUCUCAAUGUGAAGCUGGCCAUUAUUGACUUAUAACAAUAGAAAAUUCCAUUAAUGAAGCUUGAUGGAACUAGUACAAUGGCUAAUGAGACGAAACAUUUAAUCGAUAUUUCCAGUUGUUUGUCCAGAAAAAGUGGGAUAUGUAAAGUCCGAAACACCGCAAUUCGUUAUUUUUUUUCUGACUUUAAUUUUGUACACCAACAGUGUGAAAAAAAUCAUUACACAAGCUUAGUUCAAGCACUAACAUGUAUACCGUAUUUAAUUUUAAUAAAAUGAAUGCAUUCCAUUGAUGUCCCAUUUUAUCAUUGCUUGUUUGGGUCUUCAAAUGUUUGCUUGUUGUUAAUUGUGGUGUAAACAAUGGAAUUGACGAUCAAUUUAGUCGAAAGUUCAAUAUUUUAUUGUGGGUCUCAAACUCGGGCAACAAGUUAGAUCGCCACCUCAAGCUCAGCUUAGCUAACAUCAUCUCUAAAAUUGAUUGUAUCAUAUUUAUACCCAAAGCAUGUCUUUUCUUUUUGGCCAUUGAGUAUAAUAGUUUUGAAGUUCAGUCAUAAAUUAUCAUAAUUUAUCCAUUCUGCAAGUUGUCUUUCUCGUUUGUUCAUUUUUCCCAUCAUCCUUGUGGAUUAUUUAAUUGUAAUUCUGAAAAAAAAAAAAAUCUUCGACUCCUAUUCAACCGAGGGUUACUUUGACUCUCGAGAUAACGAAUUUACAAUGGAUUGAUGGGGUUUAAAAUUGAAGAACAUACACAGAAAAUUCAAAAGGAAUGAGUACGCAUAAGUAAUAAAGCGACGGAUGUUUCUAUAAAAGAUUGCAGGUAUUAAAUAUUAUACUUUUAAUUGAAUCUUUCAACGCAGUGGACUAGUAAUUUCUGAAAAAAAAAUGUAUGGCUCCAAUCUAGCUCAUGCACCUUUCUAGCGAAUUGAUACUUUAUGGCUUCAAAUUGGUUUCUUGGAGUUAGUUAAAUUAAAUAUCGGCUAAAAGAAUCAAUUAGCGUAAAUCAGAGAGUACAAAUACCAAUUUGGUCAAAAUUCAAUUUCAAGGACCAAAUUGAACAUUAACUAAAAUUUUAGGGGCGAACUUUCAUUUUUGCUCUCAUCCUUGUGGGCUUGAAAUGCAGAAUCUCUUCUAUUCCGCUUGCUGUAGAGAGAGCUCGUGACUUGCUCGUAAAAGAUGCAAAAUUCUUGCGGGAAGUGAAGGAAAUGCGAAGGACGUUGAUGCGAGACAAGUUGAAAUGAGAGUCAUUGCUCAUGGCGUCGUGUCAAAGUCGAUGGUAAAAGAGGGAAGAUCCAAGUAUUUUCGACUCCCUGCAAGGGGCUUGACAAAAUGCCCAUGUGAGUUGAAACAGUGUUUGAGCUCCCGUAAUAGAGGUGGCAUGUCGCUUUGGGUUUGGAUAGUUUAAAUCUUGCGUUUGGAUGAACAAUGACGUAAAAAAUAAGCUCAACAAGAAAAAAGAAAAAUCGUGAUUAAGAAAAGACCAAUUGGCAUUUCCAAUAUAUCUUAAACGAAGGGAUGAGCAACAUGGAGAAAAACGACAAAGCAACGGUGGUUGAAGCAUUGAGGCACCUUCUCAGGUCUCUUCUUAGUUCUUAUAAUUUAUUCAGCUCCUGUGCUUUGGUCUUUCUUUUCAAUUUUUCGUGCAGUUGUCCACCAAAGGUACCCAAAAAGACAAAAAAAAGUUAAAGAGAAAAACAAGAGACAAAGCAAUUGGUGGUCGAAACGUGAAGCAUGAUGCAAGAAGCAANNNNNNNNNNNNNNNNNNNNNNNNNNNNNNNNNNNNNNNNNNNNNNNNNNNNNNNNNNNNNNNNNNNNNNNNNNNNNNNNNNNNNNNNNNNNNNNNNNNNNNNNNNNNNNNNNNNNNNNNNNNNNNNNNNNNNNNNNNNNNNNNNGUCGUCCGGGCGAAAGUAUUUCCUGUAGAAGUUGUUUAUUCCUCCUUUUGGAUGCUAAUCAUUGAAUCUGGGAAAGGAGAGGUCGCAUCAUAAUGUCAUGGAAAACCUUCUCUAAACAUGUGAAUGGAAGCAAUGAGAGGGAGCGAGGGAAGAGGGAGAACCUUCCUCCGGCCACUUUCGACAGCUUUUUAUCAAUUUAUUAGGAUCUUAAUAAGGAAUCAUUCCCCAAUACUUAUUAGUCGUACCUAACAGAAUUUUUUUUCAUUUUCAAUGUACUAAUUAUACAUAACACAAGAAAACGAUGGUUUGAAAAUGAAAUAUUCUUUUAGUGGAUACAUAACAAGUAUCUUUAAAGCACUCAUUCAUAAAAUUCAAUUUGUAAGGAGCAAUCUCUUACAUUUCAUUUCUAGUAUAGUGAAAAUAUGUCAUGUCUUCGUGUUUAUGUCGAGAACUUUUGAUGAAGUUCCCAUUAAGACUUUUUGUCAAUAAAAAUUAUAAAUUUAGUUGGGUAGGCUUAUUUUAUCAAGGCUGACUCUUCCUAUAGUCCAUAGAUGUUACUUUGUAGGGUCCUCGAGUUUUUAUUAUAUUUAAAGAAUAAAGCUAGAGAUAUAAUUGAUUUACAAAGGGAUGUAUUAUAUACUCUUGCUAAUGACAUGCAACGAAAGCUGAGCACUUUGCAUGUUCACCGAGAAGGCUAAUCACAUUCAUCCAAUUCUUUCGCACAAACAACUUCGACCUAUAAAGAUUGGUUUAUAAAGAGAUGUAUUGUGUACUCUUGGGGUAUCUCCAUUUUUUUUUAAUAAAUUCUGCAUUGCCUAUUCAGAAAAGCUGCAAUUAUAUUCUUUGGGGAAUCUAAAGACGUUGUGGAAGUUUGGCUAGAGAAAUGUGAGGUGAAAGAUUUAAUCAAAAUCCCAAAACUACAAAACUUGUCCAUUCGCAAUUCCUGUGGUCCCAGAAAGCUGGAUAUAACUCCACAACUCGGUGAAUCUACCUUCACACACCUCAGUUUGAUCUCCUUUUGUUUCAUCACUCCUUGGAAAGGAUUCAGACUAGAUGAUUUGCAUAAAACGUCGAGUAAUUCAAUGCUUGUAUAUUAUACUCACAUAGAUGAAUGGAGAAUUGGCCGGAAUACAAGUAUCGACCCCUGCAUAUGUGGAGCUUGGUCUUGGCUAGGAUGGGGCAUUUAGAAGGAAGGAGAGUUCCUAAAGGAACCAUGCCAUGUCUUUGUAAGUUGGGAUCAAUGUUUGUCCCAAAUUGAGGAUUGAACCCAAAGGAUCUACAUAUGCAACAUCGAGGAAAAAAUUGUGGAGGCCAUUGAAAAGCCGUAUAGAAGGAUCGACAACCCAAAAAAGGGUUCCAUUAAAAUUGUUUUAUGACUUUCAGAGCAUAUAUCCCUAUAUUUAGAGAAUGAAGUAUAGAGAUAUGAAAAUUGGUUUACACGUACUGUAUACUCUUGUUGGUGACAUGCAGCACAAGCUAAGUACUCUUGAGAAGGCUAAUCACAUUCAUCCAAUUCUUUCUCACUAGCAACUUCCACAUCUAAAUAUUAAUUUACAAAGAGAUGUACACUCUUGAGGAUUCUCCAUCUUCUAGAUAAAAUUCUGCAUUAUCGGUUAAAGAAGCUAUGGCUGUAUUCUUUGUAGAAUCUAAAGAAGUUAAGGAAGUUUGUUCAAAGAAAUGCAAGGUGAAAAAUUUAAUCAAAUUGCCAAAAUCAUAAAAGUUGUCUGUUUGGAAUCUGCGUGGUCUGGAAAAACGGAUAUAUUCCAAAACUUGGUGAAACUACCUUUAAACCCCUCGAAUUUGCCUCUUUUGUUUCGUUGCUCCUUGGCAAGUGUUUAGACUAAAUGAUUUGCAUAAAAUGUCAAACAAUUUCUAUGCUUGUAAACUAUACUUAUAUAGUCGAAGAUGAGAAUUUGCCAGAGCACAAGUAUAUACCCCUGCAUCUGAGGAGGUUAGUCUUGGUCAGGUAGUGGAAUUUAUAGGAAAGGAGGUCCGUCCCAAAUUUAGGACUGAAUCUGCGUAUGCAACACCGAGGAAACAUAGUUAACGCCAUUGGAAAGCCGCACGAAAGGACUGACCUCCCACAAAAAGGGUUCUGUAAAAAAAAUUCUGAACCUAAUCUCAAACAAAAAGUCUCAAUUUCCAAUUAGGAUUAAACAUUAACAUGUCAAGCUUUUUGAUCUGCAAAAUCUUGGUAAUUUUGACAGCUCUCUUGUUCAGUUUGGGCAUCAAGAAAUUUCCACAUCACAAUUGAGAGGUUGCCCACUAAAUUUCACCAAUUGCAUAUAAAUUAUUUUGAAUUUGACCACUUAUACUCGUCAAAGGCCUGAACUUAACAGGAUUGGGGGAUUUAUAUAGUGUUCCAUGGGCUUCUAGAUAAAUCAACUUCUAUGCCUAUGCCCUUGGAUCAUCAAAAAAAGAAAAACAAAUGCAACAACCUCUCACCAAUUUUUUUUAAAGAAUUUUACAAUAAUAGAUAAUACAAAUUACACAUAUCAUCCAUUAAUAUAAAGGAGUACAUAGCAUUUUGCAAUCACAUGUUAAAGUAUUCAAAAGUGUUUCUCUUAUAAAGCCAUGAUUAUAAACAUGUUGUCCUCCUCCAUAUAACUUAUUACUUUUAAGCUUUUGGAUUAUAAAUUUUAAAACGAUAUUGUGGAAACCACACUUACAAUCUUGAAUCAAAACAUCUAACUAUCAACUAAUUGCAAAAUGGCUUAAGCACUUUGCUAAAUCUUCAAGUAAGGAGGUUUUCCUUUUUCUCAAAAUUUUCAUUAUUUUCAUGAUGAGUCGUUAUGAGAGAAGUGAAGACAUAGAGUUUUCAAAUUAUAUGAUCAUCACAACUUACCCUUAAUUUGAGGAGUUGAUUUAAUUAACAUUACGAGUCUCGCCGGUUUGUGGACGCGUCCAUGGGAUGGUACGGACCAGGAUAACACAUCUGUGAUGGUUUGUUUUCCCGCCAGAAGAAACAAAAAAGUUGCCAUUAGCAUAAGUCCAUGUCAAACCCAUCUUUUGAGGGCACAGUGAACGGGAAUAUGUUCCUUUCGACAGCACAUUAAACGAAAAUUUGAUUCCUUUUGAUGGCACAUAAAAUGAAAAAUAUGAUGGUGAACUACCGCGAUUAUUUGCUCAAAAGAAAAAAAAAAAGAAAAACUACCGCGAUUAGCCCAUGGGAAACUAAUCUGGAAGCUGAACUCUUUGCUAUCAGCCCAUGUGAAACCCAUCUUCUGAGGGCACGCCGAAUGAAAAUAUGGUUCCUUUUGACUGCACAUUAAACGAAAAUUUGACUCUUUUUGACUUCACACAAAACGAAAAAUAUGACGGUUAAUUACCGCGAUUAGCCCAUGGGAAACCAAUCCAGAAAAUACAUAUUAUAUAUGAUGCUGAACUCUUGCCAUCAGCCCAUGUGAAACCGCGUGAAAUCAAUUUUAAAAUAAUUAUGAUGCUGAACUAUUGCUAUCAGCCUAUGCGAAGCCAAAAAAGUUUUCGUUCCCGACGUCACAGGGCGGAUGAAAUAGCAGCUUCUUUUUGAACGGCCUAUUUUAACUCUAACCUAAGACCAACGGCAGCUAGCAAUUGAGCACCUGCAAAAUCUCUGCCAUAAGCUCAACUGAUCAUUAUCAAGUGGUGAAUACCAAUGGCCGAGUCUGUUGUUUCGUUCGCGGUGGAGACAAUAGGAAAGCUGCUCAUCGACGAGCCCAAAUUCUUGAGGGGAGUGGAGAGCAAGGUCGAGGACCUGCAAAGGGAGUUGAAGCUGAUCCAGUGCUUGCUGAGGGAUGCGGAUGCGAGACGAGAGCACAACGAAGCUGUUGGAGAAUGUGUCGCACAACUCCGAGACUUUGCCUAUGAUGCCGAGGAUGUCAUCGAGAGAUACAUCCUCAAAGCCGCGCUGAAGGAGGGACAAAACAUCAUCAAAGCGUAUGCUUGCUUCAUGGCGAAGUGCUCGUGCGUGCAGGUUCAUGGGGUGGGGACACAGAUUGAGGGCUUAAAAUCCAGAAUUUCCGAUAUUGGAAGGAGGAUGCAGAAUUGUGGCAUACUAUCUGUGAGGGAAGGCAAACGCGAACGAGCGAGAGCUUUGAUGCCGAAACGGACUUAUGACCAUAUCAAGGAGGAUUUUGUUGGGAGGGAAGAUAGCAUCGAGGAAUUGGUGAAAGAGCUGUCGAAUGAUGGACAAAAGCAGAGAGUUAUUUUUAUAUGGGGAAUGGGUGGUCUGGGAAAGACUUCACUCGCCAAGAAAGUCAUCGCUCAUGACAAAGUGAAGAACACUUUCGAUGGUAUCGCUUGGGCUUGUAUAUCUCAAGAAUAUAAUCCGAAGGAUAUCUUAGUGGGAAUUCUUGUUAAAUUGAUCCCUGAUCAAAGAGAGAGGGCUAUGAAGAUGAUGGAUGAUGAAUUGUUCAAAACUCUAUACGAGAUCCAACAAGAGAAGAGAUGUAUGGUUGUUCUGGAUGAUAUUUGGACCAAAGAGGCAUGGGACAGUCUUCAAGCCGCAUUCCCGAUCAAAAACAUGAGAAGCAAGCUAUUGAUAACAACCCGCAAUAAAGAAGUAGCGGAGUAUAUCGAUCCUCAAGGUUUAUUCCAUGAACCACGGUGCUUAUCAAACCAAGAGAGUUGGGAUCUACUAAAGAAGUGGGCAUUCCUCGAAACAAAAGGUAAGACUUCUUCAAGGUUAUUAUCCUAAUAUAUAGUAGCUUCAAGAGAUAAUAUUGCCUGCUUGAUUCUGAUUUAUGGCGCAUCGAUUAUCAUUGUAGGAUUAGCUGAUGAAAUUUCUUCUUAUGGACCUGGAGUUGGUCAAGGUAUUGUUGCGGGCCAAGCUGUAGAAGGUAUCGCAAAACAGUCAGAAACGGAGGGACAAUUACUAGGUACUUCAUUGCUCAGUUUCACCUUUCGGUAGCUUUAGCAAUUUAUGAAUCAAUAGUUAUAGUGGAAUUCAAAUGAUCGAAAUAUCAAGCAUUAGGCACCAUAAAUUCAAUAUUUGGGGAAUCAGAUGUCUCUUUUGUUUCUUACUAGCUAACCAAUAUACAAUUAAACCAAAAUCCAAAACUUUGCUCCUCCUUUCUAAUGAGGUUAAAUAUUGAAGAGGCUUUUAUAAGGAUAAAUAAUAAGCGAUUUUGAUAGGAUUUAUGAAAUAAUGUGAAGCUUGGCUAUGUUACUUCUUCCGUAAGCUUCAUCUCAAGUCCACCUCUUUUGCAAUUGUGAAUAGUUGGCUUAAAAAUAAGAGUAGAGAUUGAUAAGGAAAAUCAUGAAUCGUUAUGUGGCAACAUGGAGAUUUCACUCGAAUUUGUGUAGGAGAUUAGUAGCACAUUCAAGUGACGAGAUCACACUCGAGUAAUCCUUGCGCUACUUUCAUAUUUCUUCAUCAAGUAUUUUUAUUGUUGUUUUGCAUUUGCUUGAGUCACUUAAUUCAAGCCACAGUUUAGACUUCUUGAUUUUCCAAGGCAUAGAUGGAGGCAUAUACAAGAGCUUUGUUGUGGUCCCUAUUUUCCCCUUACAAAAACAUAAAUGAACCACAAAUUAUAAAGAACUAUAGCGUCUUACUUAUACGUCUAAAAGCAUAUAUUCGUCCUUGAAGUAAUCUUUUUAUUACAGUUGAAUCUUCCUAUUGCUGAGUUGCAAUUUGUUGCCUGAUAUUGUGUAGUAAUCACCGAAGACAUGAAGAACUUAGCAUAUGAACUCCUUAAGAAGUGUGCAGGAUUGCCCUUGGCUAUUAUUGUGCUUGGUGGAUUGCUGGCUGUCGACGAGUGGAAGACGAUUCACGAAAAGAUCAAUUUGCAUUUUAGUGAUAAGAGUGACGUAUCAAAAGUGUUAGCCUUAAGUUAUGACGAUUUGCCAUGGCAUCUAAAGCCAUGCUUCCUCUAUUUGAGUAGCUUUCCUGAGGAUGCAGAAAUCCCUGCAACCAAAGUUCUUUACAUGUGGAUUGCUGAAGGCUUUGUGUUGCUGAAUGCAUACGACAAAGAGAGAGAAAUUUCAAUGGAAGAGGUAGCGGAGCAAUAUUUAACGGAGUUGGUUAAUAGGGGAAUGGUUCAAGUGCGAUUCAAAUUAAGUGGAAAGAUCAAAAGCUACCACCUCCACGACUUGAUGCGAGACUUAUGUGUCUCCAAGGCUCUACAAGAGAGUUUUCUAAGCAUUCUUAACAUUCAACAGGACAAUGAGACAGAGAAUUGUUCCGCUUCAAUGGCAACAAAAGUCGAGUCAAGUUGCAAAAUACGAAGGCUUUCUCUUAAUAGAAAUGUGGUUCCGAGCUUAAAAGCAUCAAGAAGGACUCUGGUCCACCUUCGAACUCUCAUGUCCUUCGGAGGUGUCACAUGGGAGUCGAAGCAAUUUCAAUCUAUUUUUAAAGACUAUAAGUUUCUUAGAGUUCUGAAACUAGAGAAGCUUUGUGUGAUGAGAAGCUUACCUAAAUCAGUGGGAGACCUAAUCCAUUUAAGAUUCUUAAGUUUAGCAGGUAGUAGGUUUAAUGGCUUGCCGCAAUCUAUGGGGAACCUUGUAUGUAUGGAAUUCUUGGACCUGCUUGUAGGAGAAUGGGUUAGAUUUUGCAUGCCAAAUGUGUUGUGGAAGAUGAGAAGGUUGAGGUAUCUCCGUCUUCCUUACGACUUUGAUGUCAAGGAGAAAUUCCAUGGGGCCCGGAAGAAGUUGCGGGUGGGCACUUUAAAGAAUCUAUGGACAUUGAGAAAGUUCAGUCCGAAGAAAUGUGAUGUGAACGAUGUAGGCAAGCUUACCAAUCUGCAAAAAUUGACCGUCUGUGACAACUUUCGUCCUAUCGAGCUAAAGAUAUUUCAGCAACUUGCUGAAUUCAAUUUGAAUUAUCUUCAAUCCUUGUCUUUUUAUUUCAAAACUUAUCAUUUUUUAUGGACUGAAGAUGAAUUGAAUAAAAUGUCAAACUAUCCCUAUUCUUGUAAGCUAUCCAUUUUUGGAAAUAUAGAGAAGUUACUAGAACAUAAAAGUCUACCCGAGCAAUUGAGGAAGCUGGUCUUGGUAUCUUCUCAACUCAAAGAAAAUCCGAUGCCAAUAUUGGAGAAAUUACCUCACUUGGUUGUUCUCGUGUUGGGAUAUGAGGCUUUCCAGGGAAAGAAAAUGGUUUGCUCUGCAGGAGGCUUUCCUCAACUCAAGCAUUUAUUUUUUGAGUAUUUGUUAAAAUUGGAGGAGUGGAGGGCCGCUGAAGGAGCCGUGCCUCAUCUUUCUCGAUUAGGGAUCGUCCGCUGUCCCAAAUUGAGGGUGGUACCUUCACAUGUCUCUACAUAUGACAUUUAACGACGAAAUAUGGAAGGAGAGGAGGAAGUGCCGCGUGUGAGAGAGGGAUAUUGAAGUGGGUGGCGAAGGGUGGCCCCAGCUGUCCGGCGAGAGAGGAGGGAGGGGCGCGUGAGCCUGUGGGUUGUUAGGGGGGUGGGCCCCCCAGAAUAAAUAAUCUAAUCUCAUUAUAUCAUUGAGUGAAAAUAGAGAGUAUUACUGUAUUAUGGCAUAUUCCUUGACAAAUUAGUUUCCAUGUCAAGUCUUUCCAUCAUAAAUCGUCAUUCCUUUCGUUUUCCCUCUCAUCCCUGAGGUGGGGGGUGGAACCUGCUGUUUCACGCUCGCUGUCGAGAGAACUCACCGACUUUGCUCAUGGAAGACAGCAAAGUUCUCGCGAGCGCCGCGACGAGGAGGAGGAGGAGGAGGAUGAGGAGGAGGAGCGAAUUUGUUGCUUCUCUAAAAGACGCUUGAUGGGGGGAGGCAUCUGAAGAAAUAAGAGUCGAAACUUGUCGUGGCGUUGGAAGACGUCAUCGUGGAAGCUGCUGCCUUAGAGAGGAGAGGAGAUCCCGAUCAUUUGCAUAAUGCUGGUCAGAUGUUUGACGAAAUGCGGAUGUGGAGUAGGAACUGGGGUACAUUUAUCUGAAAUGGGCGCGUUGCUUUCGGCUUGUGCAAUUGAUUUCUUCGUAUAUAGAUAGACGAUGACGAGAAAUACAACGGUACAUUUUGCAUCUCCCAAUCUCCUACGUUUUUGUUUUUAUCAGUAUCGACUGAACAAUUACAUAUGUUACCUGUUGGAAUGCAGGAGCAUCCCCAGUGGCAGAUUAAGAGUGGGUUUGUAUAUUUUCAGAAGGC